Molecule: ribosomal RNA, 253 nt
Filed under: uncultured bacterium
Lineage: Bacteria
Description: partial 16S ribosomal RNA
Rfam family: Bacterial small subunit ribosomal RNA
Source: RNAcentral
UACGUAGGGUGCGAGCGUUAAUCGGAAUUACUGGGCGUAAAGGGCGCGUAGGCGGUGAUACAUGUGUGAUGUGAAAGCCCCGGGCUUAACCUGGGAACUGCAUCCGAGACUGCAUUGCUAGAGUAUGGGAGAGGAAAGCGGAAUUUCUGGUGUAGCAGUGAAAUGCGUAGAUAUCAGAAGGAACAUCAGUGGCGAAGGCGGCUUUCUGGACCAAUACUGACGAUCAGGUGCGAAAGCGUGGGGAGCAAACAGG